Molecule: long non-coding RNA, 582 nt
Organism: Dreissena polymorpha
Lineage: Eukaryota; Metazoa; Mollusca; Bivalvia; Myida; Dreissenidae
Exons: 3
Source: RefSeq, a predicted model, not a curated record
AAUGAUAUGUCUGUAUAUGAUGUUUCAGGUAGACACUGGCUGUAGAAAUCACAUGUUUGUAUAUGAUGUUUCAGGUAAACACUGGCUGUAGGAAAAUGAUAUGUUUGUAUAUUAUGUUUCAUGUAAACACUGGCUGCAGAAAUGAUAUGUGUGAACAUGAUGUUUCAGGUAGACACUGGCUGUAGAAAUGAUAUGUUUGUAUAUGAUGUUUCAGGUAGACACUGGCUGUAGAAAUGAUAUGUUUGUAUUUGAUGUUUCAGGUAGACACUGGCUGUAGAAAUGAUAUGUUUGUAUUUGAUGUUUCAGGUAGACACUGGCUGUAGAAAUGAUAUGUUUGUAUAUGAUGUUUCAGGUAGACACUGGCUGUAGAAAUGAUAUGUUUGUAUAUGAUGUUUCAGGUAGACACUGGCUGUAGAAAUGAAAUGUUUGUAUAUUAUGUUUCAGGUAGACACUGGCUGUAGAAAUGAUAUGUUUGUAUAUGUUGUUUCAGGUAGACACUGGCUGUAGAAAUGAUACGUUUGUUUAUGAUGUUUCAGGUAGACACUGGCUGUAUAAAUGAUAUGUUUGUAUAUGAUGUUUCAG